UACGUAGGGGGCUAGCGUUGUCCGGAUUUAUUGGGCGUAAAGAGCGUGUAGGCGGCCAGGUAGGUCUGGUGUGAAAACUCGAGGCUUAACCUCGAGAUGUCAUCGGAAACCAUCUGGCUAGAGUCCGGAAGAGGAGAGUGGAAUUCCUGGUGUAGCGGUGAAAUGCGCAGAUAUCAGGAAGAACACCAAUGGCGAAAGCAGCUUUCUGGGACGGUACUGACGCUGAGACGCGAAAGCGUGGGGAGCGAACAGG
Molecule: ribosomal RNA, 253 nt
Filed under: uncultured bacterium
Lineage: Bacteria
Description: partial 16S ribosomal RNA
Rfam family: Bacterial small subunit ribosomal RNA
Source: RNAcentral